UUUAAUCCGUCAGAUUACACGUAAUAAACAUUUUUAUUUCUCACUUUAAUCCGUCAGAUUACACGUAAUAAACAUUUUUAUUUCUCACUUUAAUCCCUCAGAUUACACGUAAUAAACAUUUUUAUUUCUCACUUUAAUCCCUCAGAUUACACGUAAUAAACAUUUUUAUUUCUCACUUUAAUCCCUCAGAUUACACCGUAAUUAUAUGUUGAUGCCAUGACAAUCACAUUUCAAUACUUUAAUCAUAAUAUUAACAAUAUACACUAUAUAUACACAAGAGUAUGUGGAUUCGGCUAUUUCAGCCACACCUGUUGCUGACAGGUGUAUAAAAUCGAGCACACAGACAUGCAAUCUCCAUAGACAAACAUUGGCUGUAGAAUGGCCUUACUGAAGAGCUCAGUGACUUUCAACGUGGCACCAACAAGUCAGUUUGUCACAUUUCUGCCCUGCCAGAGCUGCCCCCCGGUCAACUGUAAGUGCUGUUAUUGUGAAAUGGAAACGUCUAGGAGCAACAACGGCUCAGCAGCGAAGUGGUAGCCCACAAAAGCUCACAGAACGGGAUAGCCGAGUGCUGAAGUGGGUAGCAUAUACAAAUCAUCUGUCCUCGGUUGCAACACUCACUACCGAGUUCCAAACUGCCUUUGGAAGCAAACUCAGCACAAGAACGGUUCAUCAGGAGCUUCAUGAAAUGGGUUUCCAUGGCAGAGCAGCCGCACACAAGCCUAAGAUCACCAUGCGCAAUGACAAGUAUCAUCUGGAGUGGUGUAAAGCUCACCACCAUUGGACUCUGGAGCAGUGGAAACACGUUCUCUGGAGUGAUGAAUCACACUUCACCAUCUGGCAGUCUGACGGACGAAUCUGGGUUUGGCGGAUGCCAGGAGAACGCUAUCUGUCCCAAUGCAUAGUGUAAACUAAAGUUUGGUGGAGGAGGAAUAAUGGUCUGGGGCUGUUUUUCAUGGUUCAGGCCCCUUAGUUCCACUGAAGGGAAAUAUUAACACUACAGCAUACAAGGACAUUCUAGACGAUUCUGUGCUUCCAACUUUGUGGCAACAGUUUGGAGAAUGCCCUUUCCUGUUUCGGCAUGACAAUUCCCCCGUGCACAAAGCGAGAUCCGUGUGGAAAAACUUGACUGGCCAGAGCCCUGACCUCAACCUCAUCAAAUACCUUUGGGAUGAAUUAGAACGUCGACUGUUAGCCAGGCCUAACCACCAAACAUCAGUACCAGACCUCAUUAAUGCUCUUGUGGCUGAAUGGAAGCAAGUCCCCGCAGCAAUGUUCCAACAUCUAGUGGAAAGCCUUCCCAGAAGAGUGGAGGCUGUUAUGGCAGCAAUGUUCCAACAUCUAGUGGAAAGCCUUCCCAGAAGAGUGGAGGCUGUUAUAGCAGCAAUGUUCCAACAUCUAGUGGAAAGCCUUCCCAGAAGAGUGGUGGCUGUUAUAGCAGCAAUGUUCCUACAUCUAGUGGAAAGCCUUCCCAGAAGAGUGGAGGCUGUAAUAGCAGCAAUGUUCCAACAUCUAGUGGAAAGCCUUCCCAGAAGAGUGGAGGCUGUUAUAGCAGUAAAAGGGGGACCAACUCCAUAUUAAUGCCCAUGAUUUUUGAAAGAAAUGUUCAAUAGCAGGUGUCCACAUACUUUUGAUCAUGUAGUGUAUCUACAUUGCUGACUGGCCCAUGUUAAAAUUCACAAUAGAUAUUCAUUCACUUUUGAUUGAAGUUCUGUUUGUUAGCAAACAGAGACUCAAAUCAGCCUGUCUGGUCAUGUGAUGAGGUGCUGUGCUACAUCAUCAUAUACAGUACCAGUCAAAAGUUUGGACACACCUACUCAUUUCAGGGGUUUUCUUUAUUUGUACUAUUUUCUACAUUGUAGAAUAAUUGUGAAGACAUCAAAAACUAUGAAAUAACUCAUGUAGUAACCAGAAAAAGUAGCCACCCUUUGCCUUGAUGACAGCUUUGCACACUCUUUGCAUUCUCUCGACCAGCUUCACCUGGAAUGCUGUUCCAACAGUCUUGAAAGUGUUCCCACAUAUGCUGAGCACUUGUUGGCUGCUUUUCCUUCACUCUGCAGUCCAACUCAUCCCAAACCAUCUCAAUUGGGUUGAGAUCAUCUGAUGCAUCACUCUCCUUCUUGGUCAAAUAGCCCUUACACAGCCUGGAGGUGGGGAAUAUGGUGCCAAUUAGGACACGUCUUUUCACUCUCUGGUUUAUUGUUGCGCUCUGGCCCCCUAUCCCAAAUUGUGCCCUAGCACCGUUCCCCUACUCUCCUACCCCUAGGCACUCACUUAUCUUCCCUUCCUUCCCUGAUGCACUUUACCCUCCUACCUUAUCUGAAUAUCUGGCCUCUACAAAACGAGAGCCAAUGACUAUCCCCAAUGACACCCUAUGUAGUGAAUAGUUCCAUUUGAAACAUACCCCAAUGACUCUCCCCCUUUCUUUGGUUGAAGAAACAACGUCAUCAAUUUGGUUAUUAUAAUAAUGCAGGUAUGAUUAUUGAUCACAGGAAAUGUGAGGAGUAUGAUAAUGAUUUCCUGUCUUAAAGCGGCCAUAUAUGAGGACGGGCUCGUUGUAAUGGAAUGAAUGGAACCGUAUCGAAACCAUGGAAACCACAUGUUUGACUCUGUUCCAAUGAAUUCCAUUCAAAUCAAAUGUUAUUAGUCGCGUGUGCCGAAUACAACAGGUGUAAACAUUACAGUGAAAUGCCUGACUGACGAGCCCUUAACCAACAAUGCAGUUUAAAAUAAAAUAAAAGCCAUUACAAUGUGCCUAUCCUCCUAUAGCUCCUCCAACCAGCCUCCUCUGUUGUGUGUGACACAAUUACUAAACAAACAAAUAGUAGCUAGUAAUAUUAUAUUUUAUUUACAGAUGUGAACAUUAAAUUCCUGACAUGACUGCUAUGUAGUUUGGGUGUCACAUUUUCCCAGAAUGCCCAGUUUUUUUUGUUGUUUUUUUUUUCUCUAGAAAUACUGGUUGGAGAGGAUUCAGGAUUUCCUGAUUGUUAUUAAAAAAAAAUAUUGCAACCCUAAAAUGUACUAAAAAAGGCAUGUUUCACAUUUGUAUAAAAGACAUCUCGGUAGCUUAACAAUGCUGAGGGGGAAGAAUCUAACCUAGAGUGGAAAGGUUCAAAACCAAGCUGAAUCCACAUGGAGGAUAAUUUGUACAAUUCCUGUAACUCCCCAAAUUCCUCCGAAAUCCUGGAUGUUUUGCUUUAAUUCCAGCAAUCUUCCAACUAGGAUUUCGGAAAACAGGCAUUUUGUGAAAAGUUACAGGAAUUUUGGAACCCCAUUUAUAAUAUGAUACAAAACAAACUGAAUCAGCUGGUUUAUAAUAUACCCUGGCUAAACCUGGUUACACCGUGGCGGAACAAUAAUGUAUUUGAUCUUGCAGUUACUACCAAAAGAGAGUCCUAUCUGAAUACCUCUAUGGUUAUUAUUCAAGUGGGUUAACUAGUUUGAGAUUACGUAACGUCAUGAAAUGAUAAGGCUACAUAUGUACUCAGAUUGAAA
Long non-coding RNA from Oncorhynchus tshawytscha (Chinook salmon), 3495 nucleotides. Lineage: Eukaryota; Metazoa; Chordata; Actinopteri; Salmoniformes; Salmonidae. The record is from Ensembl.